UACGGAGGGUGCGAGCGUUGUCCGGAAUCACUGGGCGUAAAGGGCGCGUAGGCGGCGCAGGAAGUCAGCGGUGAAAGUUCGGGGCUCAACCCUGAAUCGGCCGUCGAUACUCCUGGGCUCGAGCACGGUAGAGGCAGAUGGAAUUCCGGGUGUAGCGGUGGAAUGCGUAGAGAUGCGGAGGAACACCGAUGGCGAAGGCAGACCCCUGGGCUGACACUGACGCUCAGGCACGAAAGCGUGGGGAGCAAACAGG
RNAcentral lists this ribosomal RNA (253 nucleotides) under uncultured bacterium. RNAcentral describes it as "partial 16S ribosomal RNA". It matches the Rfam family "Bacterial small subunit ribosomal RNA", at positions 524 to 776 of the family's 1533-position model. The record is from RNAcentral.